This 1372-nucleotide ribosomal RNA is filed under the name uncultured bacterium. RNAcentral describes it as "bacterial SSU rRNA". It matches the Rfam family "Bacterial small subunit ribosomal RNA", at positions 28 to 1381 of the family's 1533-position model. The record is from RNAcentral.
GAUGAACGCUGGCGGCGUGCCUAAUACAUGCAAGUCGAGCGAACGGACGAGAAGCUUGCUUCUCUGAUGUUAGCGGCGGACGGGUGAGUAACACGUGGAUAACCUACCUAUAAGACUGGGAUAACUUCGGGAAACCGGAGCUAAUACCGGAUAAUAUUUUGAACCGCAUGGUUCAAAAGUGAAAGACGGUCUUGCUGUCACUUAUAGAUGGAUCCGCGCUGCAUUAGCUAGUUGGUAAGGUAACGGCUUACCAAGGCAACGAUGCAUAGCCGACCUGAGAGGGUGAUCGGCCACACUGGAACUGAGACACGGUCCAGACUCCUACGGGAGGCAGCAGUAGGGAAUCUUCCGCAAUGGGCGAAAGCCUGACGGAGCAACGCCGCGUGAGUGAUGAAGGUCUUCGGAUCGUAAAACUCUGUUAUUAGGGAAGAACAUAUGUGUAAGUAACUGUGCACAUCUUGACGGUACCUAAUCAGAAAGCCACGGCUAACUACGUGCCAGCAGCCGCGGUAAUACGUAGGUGGCAAGCGUUAUCCGGAAUUAUUGGGCGUAAAGCGCGCGUAGGCGGUUUUUUAAGUCUGAUGUGAAAGCCCACGGCUCAACCGUGGAGGGUCAUUGGAAACUGGAAAACUUGAGUGCAGAAGAGGAAAGUGGAAUUCCAUGUGUAGCGGUGAAAUGCGCAGAGAUAUGGAGGAACACCAGUGGCGAAGGCGACUUUCUGGUCUGUAACUGACGCUGAUGUGCGAAAGCGUGGGGAUCAAACAGGAUUAGAUACCCUGGUAGUCCACGCCGUAAACGAUGAGUGCUAAGUGUUAGGGGGUUUCCGCCCCUUAGUGCUGCAGCUAACGCAUUAAGCACUCCGCCUGGGGAGUACGACCGCAAGGUUGAAACUCAAAGGAAUUGACGGGGACCCGCACAAGCGGUGGAGCAUGUGGUUUAAUUCGAAGCAACGCGAAGAACCUUACCAAAUCUUGACAUCCUUUGACAACUCUAGAGAUAGAGCUUUCCCCUUCGGGGGACAAAGUGACAGGUGGUGCAUGGUUGUCGUCAGCUCGUGUCGUGAGAUGUUGGGUUAAGUCCCGCAACGAGCGCAACCCUUAAGCUUAGUUGCCAUCAUUAAGUUGGGCACUCUAAGUUGACUGCCGGUGACAAACCGGAGGAAGGUGGGGAUGACGUCAAAUCAUCAUGCCCCUUAUGAUUUGGGCUACACACGUGCUACAAUGGACAAUACAAAGGGCAGCGAAACCGUGAGGUCAAGCAAAUCCCAUAAAGUUGUUCUCAGUUCGGAUUGUAGUCUGCAACUCGACUACAUGAAGCUGGAAUCGCUAGUAAUUGUAGAUCAGCAUGCUACGGUGAAUACGUUCCCGGGUCU